UACGUAGGGGGCAAGCGUUGUCCGGAUUUAUUGGGCGUAAAGAGCGUGUAGGCGGCCAGGUAGGUCUGGUGUGAAAACUCGAGGCUCAACCUCGAGAGGUCAUCGGAAACCAUCUGGCUAGAGUCCGGAAGAGGAGAGUGGAAUUCCCGGUGUAGCGGUGAAAUGCGCAGAUAUCGGGAAGAACACCUAUGGCGAAGGCAGCUCUCUGGGACGGUACUGACGCUGAGACGCGAAAGCGUGGGGAGCGAACGGG
Molecule: ribosomal RNA, 253 nt
Filed under: uncultured bacterium
Lineage: Bacteria
Description: partial 16S ribosomal RNA
Rfam family: Bacterial small subunit ribosomal RNA
Source: RNAcentral